UCCCUGGAGGUCCAGUGGCUAAGUCUCUGCACUCCCAAUGCAGGGGACCCAGGCUCAAUUCCUUGUCAGGGAA
This 73-nucleotide transfer RNA is filed under the name Ovis aries (sheep). It matches the Rfam family "tRNA". Rfam says of the family: Transfer RNA (tRNA) molecules are approximately 80 nucleotides in length. Their secondary structure includes four short double-helical elements and three loops (D, anti-codon, and T loops). Further hydrogen bonds mediate the characteristic L-shaped molecular structure. tRNAs have two regions of fundamental functional importance: the anti-codon, which is responsible for specific mRNA codon recognition, and the 3' end, to which the tRNAs corresponding amino acid is attached (by aminoacyl-tRNA synthetases). tRNAs cope with the degeneracy of the genetic code in two manners: having more than one tRNA (with a specific anti-codon) for a particular amino acid; and 'wobble' base-pairing, i.e. permitting non-standard base-pairing at the 3rd anti-codon position. Lineage: Eukaryota; Metazoa; Chordata; Mammalia; Artiodactyla; Bovidae. The record is from Rfam by way of RNAcentral.